Molecule: ribosomal RNA, 455 nt
Filed under: uncultured bacterium
Lineage: Bacteria
Description: bacterial SSU rRNA
Rfam family: Bacterial small subunit ribosomal RNA
Source: RNAcentral
CAGGAUUAGAUACCCUGGUAGUCCACGCCGUAAACGAUGUUCACUCGUUGUUCGCGAUACAUUGCGAGCGACCAAGAGAAAUCGAUAAGUGAUCCACCUGGGGAGUACGGCGGCAACGCUGAAACUCAAAGGAAUUGACGGGGACCCGCACAAGCGGUGGAUGAUGUGGUUUAAUUCGAUGCAACGCGAAAAACCUUACCUACCCUUGACAUGUCAAGAAUCCUGCAGAGAUGUGGGAGUGCUCGAAAGAGAACUUGAACACAGGUGCUGCAUGGCCGUCGUCAGCUCGUGUCGUGAGAUGUUGGGUUAAGUCCCGCAACGAGCGCAACCCUUGUCAUUAGUUGCUACGAAAGGGCACUCUAAUGAGACUGCCGGUGACAAACCGGAGGAAGGUGGGGAUGACGUCAGGUCCUCAUGGCUCUUAUGGGCUGGGCCACACACGUGCUACAAUGGCA